GAGUGACACUGCGCCGAAAAUGUACCGGGGCUAAACAUAUUACCGAAGCUGUGGAUUGUCCUUUGGACAAUGGUAGGAGAGCGUUCUAAGGGCGUCGAAGCAUGAUCGCAAGGACAUGUGGAGCGCUUAGAAGUGAGAAUGCCGGUGUGAGUAGCGAAAGACGGGUGAGAAUCCCGUCCACCGAUUGACUAAGGUUUCCAGAGGAAGGCUCGUCCGCUCUGGGUUAGUCGGGUCCUAAGCUGAGGCCGACAGGCGUAGGCGAUGGAUAACAGGUUGAUAUUCCUGUACCACCUAGUAUCGUUUUAAUCGAUGGGGGGACGCAGUAGGAUAGGCGAAGCGUGCUGUUGGAGUGCACGUCCAAGCAGUAAGGCUGAGUGUUAGGCAAAUCCGGCACUCAUAAGGCUGAGCUGUGAUGGGGAGAGGAAAUUGUUUCCUCGAGUCGUUGAUUUCACACUGCCGAGAAAAGCCUCUAGAUAGAUAACAGGUGCCCGUACCGCAAACCGACACAGGUAGUCAAGAUGAGAAUUCUAAGGUGAGCGAGCGAACUCUCGUUAAGGAACUCGGCAAAAUGACCCCGUAACUUCGGGAGAAGGGGUGCUCUUUAGGGUUCACGCCCAGAAGAGCCGCAGUGAAUAGGCCCAAGCGACUGUUUAUCAAAAACACAGGUCUCUGCUAAACCGUAAGGUGAUGUAUAGGGGCUGACGCCUGCCCGGUGCUGGAAGGUUAAGAGGAGUGGUUAGCUUCUGCGAAGCUACGAAUCGAAGCCCCAGUAAACGGCGGCCGUAACUAUAACGGUCCUAAGGUAGCGAAAUUCCUUGUCGGGUAAGUUCCGACCCGCACGAAAGGCGUAACGAUUUGGGCACUGUCUCAACGAGAGACUCGGUGAAAUCAUAGUACCUGUGAAGAUGCAGGUUACCCGCGACAGGACGGAAAGACCCCGUGGAGCUUUACUGUAGCCUGAUAUUGAAAUUCGGCACAGCUUGU
Molecule: ribosomal RNA, 984 nt
Filed under: Staphylococcus epidermidis
Lineage: Bacteria; Bacillati; Bacillota; Bacilli; Caryophanales; Staphylococcaceae
Description: bacterial LSU rRNA
Rfam family: Bacterial large subunit ribosomal RNA
Source: RNAcentral